RNAcentral lists this long non-coding RNA (1173 nucleotides) under Vigna radiata. RNAcentral describes it as "long non-coding RNA (VRAD_LNC012718)". The record is from RNAcentral. Lineage: Eukaryota; Viridiplantae; Streptophyta; Magnoliopsida; Fabales; Fabaceae.
CUCUCUCUCUCUCUCUCUCAGUAACGCGAAUACACAAGUCCUAAUCUUUCUCUAGAAAGACUUAUUAUUCCUGAUCUUUUGCAUCUUCUUCAUUGUUACUCAAAACUUCAACUUCCAUCAUGAGUGAUCGCACACAAGCACCCCACCAUGUCCAGGUGCACACCACAACCCAACACUACGAAGCUGGUGUCGUUCCUGCACCUCGAUAUGAGCGUGCUGUUUUCCCCCCACAGUUUUAUGAAUCUGGAGGUAAGACUAGAUCUUACCCUGCCGAGAGAGUUCCCUCCGCCACCCAGAUCCUCUCUGUUGUCGUCGGCCUUCCGGUCGGCGGCCUCCUCCUUCUUCUGGCCGGACUUACUCUGGCAGGAACUCUAACUGGGCUGGCAGUGGCCAUCCCGCUUUUCAUUCUGUUCAGCCCAGUUCUGGUUCCAGCUACCGUGGUAAUCGGGCUGGCAGUGGCGGGGUUUCUGACGGCCGGAGCUUUUGAGCUGACGGCUGUGUCGUCGUUCUCGUGGAUCUUGAAUUACAUCCGGGAGAGCCAGGGGCCAGUGCCGGUGAACCUGGCGGUAGCGGCGAAGCAUCAGCUGGCGGAUGCUGCAGAAUACGUGGGGCAGAAGACAAAGGAAAUGGGGCAGAAGACAAAGGAAGUUGGGCAGGAUAUACAGAACAAGGCUCAGGAUGCAAAGGAAAAGAGUCUGAAGGAAGCAAAAGAUGCAAAGGAGAUGAAGAGAACAACCGUAACAGCAACAGCCGCAACAGACUGAGUAUUGUGAUAUGAUGCGGUUUAUGUCGGGAAAUAAUAAUGUACCUCUUGGUUUGCACUUGUGAGUGCUGUGUCUUUAGUUAUUGUAUGUAGGUCUGUGUUUUGUUGUCUGGCUUGGUUUGUAGUUUUUGUUGUCUAGCUUGGUUUGUAGAGGGAUGUACUUUGGUUCAUGCCAUAUAAAGGGGUACUACUAGUUACCACUCUGCUGUAUAUGGAUGCUGGAAAUGUGUUCUGUAGUUCUUCACUUUCACUGUUGAGUUCAAUGUGAAAUUUGUUUUGCCUUCGUUUUUGUAAUCACUUUCUUUCUUCUAGAACAACCAUAAUUUUAAACAGAUUUGUUAAUUUUUUAGCAUAAUAAAAAUCAAAGCACCAAGAGAUUUAACCUUAGAAAGUUUUCUUAACAGCAUGGC